GGUGUAAAGCGCGUGCAGGCGGUUCGGUAAGUUGGAUGUGAAAGCUCCUGGCUUAACUGGGAGAGGUCGUUCAAUACUGCCGGGCUAGAGGAUGGGAGAGGGAGGUGGAAUUCCGGGUGUAGUGGUGAAAUGCGUAGAUAUCCGGAGGAACACCAGUGGCGAAGGCGGCCUCCUGGCCCAUUUCUGACGCUCAGACGCGAAAGCUAGGGGAGCGAACGGGAUUAGAGACCCCGGUAGUCCUAGCCGUAAACGAUGUGAACUUGGCGUCGGCGGGUUUAAAUCCGUCGGUGCCGCAGCUAACGCGAUAAGUUCACCACCUGAGUACUACGGCCGCAAGGUUAAAACUCAAAGGAAUUGACGGGUCCCCGCACAAGCAGCGGAGCGUGUGGUUUAAUUCGUUGCUACACGAAGAACCUUACCAGGGUUUGACAUACAGGUGGUAGUGAAGCGAAAGCAGAACGACCCUUCGGGGAGCCUGUACAGGUGUUGCAUGGCUGUCGUCAGCUCGUGUCGUGAGAUGUUCGGUUAAGUCCGCUAACGAGCGCAACCCUCGCUGUGUGUUACAUGUGUCACACGGGACUGCCGGUGUCAAGCCGGAGGAAGGUGGGGAUGACGUCAAGUCAGCAUGACCUUUAUAUCCUGGGCUACACACACGCUACAAUGGUCGGCACAAUGGGUCGCUAAGCCGCGAGGUAGAGCCAAUCCUCAAAGUCGGCCUCAGUUCAGAUCGCAGGCUGCAACUCGCCUGCGUGAAGCCGGAGUUGCUAGUAACCGCAGGUCAGCUAUACUGCGGUGAAUACGUUCCCGGGGGUUGCACACACCGCCCGUCAAG
RNAcentral lists this ribosomal RNA (832 nucleotides) under uncultured bacterium. Its description in RNAcentral is "bacterial SSU rRNA". It matches the Rfam family "Bacterial small subunit ribosomal RNA", at positions 557 to 1401 of the family's 1533-position model. The record is from RNAcentral.